AUAAAUUUUUUAUGAUUUUGUAAAUUUAUUAUAAGUUUAUUUUACAUAUAAAUUUUAGUGUUAAUUUUUAAUUAUUUAAAUAAUAAUUAUUAUAUAUUGUAGUAAUUGAUAUUAAAAAUUUAAGAAAUUAAGAUUUAGUAAUACAAAAAUUAUUAACAAAUUUUGUGCCAGCAGUUGCGGUU
RNAcentral lists this ribosomal RNA (182 nucleotides) under Epirrita christyi (pale November moth). RNAcentral describes it as "partial 12S ribosomal RNA". The record is from RNAcentral. Lineage: Eukaryota; Metazoa; Arthropoda; Insecta; Lepidoptera; Geometridae.